GAUGAAGAACGCAGCGAAAUGCGAUAAGUAAUGUGAAUUGCAGAACUCAGUGAAUCAUCGAAUCUUUGAACGCACAUUGCGCCCGCCAGCACUCUGGCGGGCAUGCCUGUUCGAGCGUCAUUUCAACCCUCAGAACCCCUUUGGGGGAUCUGGCGUUGGGGAUCGGCAGUCCUGCCGGCCCCGAAAUAUAGUGGCGGUCUCUCUGUGACCUUCCCUGUGUAGUAGCGAUACCUCGCAGCGGGAUAGCAGUUUGGCCACGCCGUAAAACACCCAACUUCUCAAGGUUGACCUCGAAUCAGGUAGGAAUACCCGCUGAACUUAAGCAUAUCAAUAAGCGGAGGA
Molecule: unclassified non-coding RNA, 342 nt
Filed under: soil metagenome
Description: partial contains 5.8S ribosomal RNA, internal transcribed spacer 2, and large subunit ribosomal RNA
Rfam family: 5.8S ribosomal RNA (bases 1-120)
Source: RNAcentral